UUGUCUUCAGGGCGGGGUGUGAUUCCCCACCGGUGGUAAAGCCCACGAGCGCUGCUGCGCAUGAUUCGGUGUGAUUCCGAAGCCGACGGUAUAGUCCGGAUAAAAGAAGAUU
This 112-nucleotide non-coding RNA is filed under the name bovine gut metagenome. RNAcentral describes it as "FMN riboswitch (RFN element)". It matches the Rfam family "FMN riboswitch aptamer (RFN element)". Rfam says of the family: The RFN element is a highly conserved domain that is found frequently in the 5'-untranslated regions of prokaryotic mRNAs that encode for flavin mononucleotide (FMN) biosynthesis and transport proteins. This element is a metabolite-dependent riboswitch that directly binds FMN in the absence of proteins. The record is from RNAcentral.